RNAcentral lists this ribosomal RNA (467 nucleotides) under uncultured bacterium. Its description in RNAcentral is "partial 16S ribosomal RNA". It matches the Rfam family "Bacterial small subunit ribosomal RNA", at positions 28 to 507 of the family's 1533-position model. The record is from RNAcentral.
GACGAACGCUGGCGGCGUGCUUAACACAUGCAAGUCGAACGGAAAGGCCCUGCUUUUGUGGGGUGCUCGAGUGGCGAACGGGUGAGUAACACGUGAGUAACCUGCCCUUGACUUUGGGAUAACUUCAGGAAACUGGGGCUAAUACCGGAUAGGAGCUCCUGCUGCAUGGUGGGGGUUGGAAAGUUUCGGCAGUUGGGGAUGGACUCGCGGCUUAUCAGCUUGUUGGUGGGGUAGUGGCUUACCAAGGCUUUGACGGGUAGCCGGCCUGAGAGGGUGACCGGCCACAUUGGGACUGAGAUACGGCCAGACUCCUACGGGAGGCAGCAGUGGGGAAUAUUGCACAAUGGGCGGAAGCCUGAUGCAGCAACGCCGCGUGCGGGAUGACGGCCUUCGGGUUGUAAACCGCUUUCGCCUGUGACGAAGCGUGAGUGACGGUAAUGGGUAAAGAAGCACCGGCUAACUACGUG